GACGAACGCUGGCGGCGUGCUUAACACAUGCAAGUCGAACGGAAAGGCCCUGCUUUUGUGGGGUGCUCGAGUGGCGAACGGGUGAGUAACACGUGAGUAACCUGCCCUUGACUUUGGGAUAACUUCAGGAAACUGGGGCUAAUACCGGAUAGGAGCUCCUGCUGCAUGGUGGGGGUUGGAAAGUUUCGGCGGUUGGGGAUGGACUCGCGGCUUGUCAGCUUGUUGGUGGGGUAGUGGCUUACCAAGGGGUUGACGGGUAGCCGGCCUGAGAGGGGGGUCGGCCACAGUGGAGGUGAGACACCGUCCAGACUCCUACGGGAGGCAGCAGUGGGGAAUGGGGGACAAUGGGGGCAAGUCUGACCCAGCCAUACCGCGUGGGUGAAGAAGGCCUUCGGGGUGUAAAGCCGUUUUGUGGGGAAAGAACCGCAGCAGGUUGAUACGACGCUGGUGUGACGGUACCGAAAAAAUAAGCACCGGCUAACUUCGUG
RNAcentral lists this ribosomal RNA (488 nucleotides) under uncultured bacterium. RNAcentral describes it as "partial 16S ribosomal RNA". It matches the Rfam family "Bacterial small subunit ribosomal RNA", at positions 28 to 507 of the family's 1533-position model. The record is from RNAcentral.